UGUGGAAAAGCUAGAGCUAAUACAUGCUAAAAAUCCCGACUUCUGGAAGGGAUGUAUUUAUUAGAUAAAAAAUCAAUGCCUUCGGGCUCUUUGAUGAUUCAUAAUAACUUUUCGAAUCGCAUGGCUUCGUGCCGGCGAUGGUUCAUUCAAAUUUCUGCCCUAUCAACUUUCGAUGGUAGGAUAGUGGCCUACCAUGGUUUCAACGGGUGACGGGGAAUAAGGGUUCGAUUCCGGAGAGGGAGCCUGAGAAACGGCUACCACAUCCAAGGAAGGCAGCAGGCGCGCAAAUUACCCAAUCCUAAUUCAGGGAGGUAGUGACAAUAAAUAACGAUACAGGGCCCAUUGGGUCUUGUAAUUGGAAUGAGUACAAUUUAAAUACCUUAACGAGGAACAAUUGGAGGGCAAGUCUGGUGCCAGCAGCCGCGGUAAUUCCAGCUCCAAUAGCGUAUAUUAAAGUUGUUGCAGUUAAAAAGCUCGUAGUUGAACCUUGGGCUUGGUUGGCCGGUCCGCCUUACGGUGAGUACUGGACCCAACCGAGUCUUUCCUUCUGGGAAACCUUCUGCUCUUUCGGGUAGUUGGGGAACCAGGACUUUUACUUUGAAAAAAUUAGAGUGUUCAAAGCAGGCCUUUGCUCGAAUAUAUAAGCAUGGAAUAAUAGAAUAGGACGUUAUGGUUCUAUUUUGUUGGUUUCUAGGACCAUCGUAAUGAUUAAUAGGGACGGUCGGGGGCAUCAGUAUUCAAUUGUCAGAGGUGAAAUUCUUGGAUUUAUUGAAGACUAACUACUGC
RNAcentral lists this ribosomal RNA (786 nucleotides) under Nakazawaea sp. MA-2023a. Its description in RNAcentral is "SSU rRNA". It matches the Rfam family "Eukaryotic small subunit ribosomal RNA", at positions 148 to 946 of the family's 1831-position model. Lineage: Eukaryota; Fungi; Ascomycota; Pichiomycetes; Alaninales; Pachysolenaceae. The record is from RNAcentral.